CCGCGCCUCCGGCUGGGGCUCCGAGUCGGGCUUCGAGAGGGACAGCGGAGGCCCUCCGCCGAGGGACGGUCGGCGCCAACCGAGGUUCCUGAGCAAAAGAGAAAAGGAGGUUUGACCAUGAGGCUUGGAGAAGGGAGAAGGGCUGGGGAGUACGGCAAGCAUCAAAUUGGAUAUUUCUCUGGAAACACUGACAGUCUGAAUUCCCUCAAUCUGUGUCUCAAUCCCAAACUGAAAGGACCAUCUUCCUGAGGCUCUUGGUGAUGCUGACGCUACCAGUUUGAGGACCACACUUUGAGAAACAAGGUUCUAGACUUUGACCUUCACUGCACAGGCUUACAAGACUGGUAAGUCUGAUUAAGAGAUCUUUUAGGAAUAGACUCAUAUUAACUAAGCUUACAAGCUUGCUGUAGAAAUCUAGAAAUCUAAUUUGUUAAUAUGUUAAUGAGAAAAAUGAAAUGUACGGACCCAUAAUCAUCUGCUGUUCCUAAGACAUGCCACCUGAGACGCCAAAUUAGAGCGCAGGAUAAGAAUGGACAGGAGACUGUAAAAGAUUGUUGUGUGUAUAGUUGGUUCAAAGAUUUCAGGCUAAUAGAGAUUUUCUAGCUGUCACUGCACUGGAGUGGUGGUUUUAAAAUGUACCUGGGAUUU
Molecule: long non-coding RNA, 648 nt
Filed under: Sus scrofa (pig)
Lineage: Eukaryota; Metazoa; Chordata; Mammalia; Artiodactyla; Suidae
Description: lncRNA (ENSSSCG00050017057.1)
Source: RNAcentral